ACUUGACAGGUAUUCACAGGAGACACUCGGAACCCAGGAGAUCUAGAUCCAAGUAUUUUUGAGGGAGUCACACAUGUCAUAUGCUGCACCGGGACAACGGCUUUUCCUUCGAAACGGUGGGAUGGAGAUAACACUCCAGAAAGAGUAGAUUGGGAGGGUGUGAAAAAUCUUGUAUCUGCUCUUCCUUCGUCAGUGAAGAGGGUUGUUCUUGUUUCGUCAGUAGGUGUAACCAAGUUUAACGAACUGCCUUGGAGGUAAGACUAACGGUGAGUACAGUUGAUUUUCUUUGCAAAUUAAUUAGCAAUUUCGUUCACAUUA
Long non-coding RNA from Morus notabilis, 318 nucleotides. RefSeq lists it as uncharacterized. The record is from RefSeq and is a predicted model, not a curated record. The transcript is spliced from 3 exons. Lineage: Eukaryota; Viridiplantae; Streptophyta; Magnoliopsida; Rosales; Moraceae.